GCCUUCGUGGUGUAACGGUAGCACAGUCGGAGCGUAUUCGAGAGGUCCAGGUUCAAAUCCCGGCGAGGACA
RNAcentral lists this transfer RNA (71 nucleotides) under Stegodyphus mimosarum. It matches the Rfam family "tRNA". Rfam says of the family: Transfer RNA (tRNA) molecules are approximately 80 nucleotides in length. Lineage: Eukaryota; Metazoa; Arthropoda; Arachnida; Araneae; Eresidae. The record is from Rfam by way of RNAcentral.